Molecule: long non-coding RNA, 316 nt
Filed under: Sorghum bicolor (sorghum)
Lineage: Eukaryota; Viridiplantae; Streptophyta; Magnoliopsida; Poales; Poaceae
Description: long non-coding RNA (SBIC_LNC013869)
Source: RNAcentral
UAGUUAAUUCAUCCUAGAGCUUGUACCAGCUCUGGUCUAGCCAACAAUCAGCAUGAGGUGCGGAACCUAGACACGCGUGGGAUUGCCAGCCUCACCAGAGAGCUACUGCCGACCACCUGGAACGCAGAGGGCGGAUCUCGUGCACGUGUAGGGAGGAGUCGGAGACAGUACCGGCUCUGGAAAGCUCGUGUAGGAGAAAAAACUAGUGUGGCUAAACAAAAAGUUAUUUUUGAAGGAUAAUAAAAAAUAUUAUGCCAAAAAUAAAUAAGAUAUUAGAAGUGUACUUAUCUUUGGAUGAAAGUCUGGUCGGUGACGA